This 293-nucleotide ribosomal RNA is filed under the name uncultured bacterium. RNAcentral describes it as "partial 16S ribosomal RNA". It matches the Rfam family "Bacterial small subunit ribosomal RNA", at positions 334 to 643 of the family's 1533-position model. The record is from RNAcentral.
UUCUCCUACGGGACGCAGCAGUGGGGAAUAUUGCACAAUGGGGGAAACCCUGAUGCAGCGACGCCGCGUGAGUGAAGAAGUAUUUCGGUAUGUAAAGCUCUAUCAGCAGGGAAGAAAAAAGACGGUACCUGACUAAGAAGCCCCGGCUAACUACGUGCCAGCAGCCGCGGUAAUACGUAGGGGGCAAGCGUUAUCCGGAUUUACUGGGUGUAAAGGGAGCGUAGACGGUGCGUCAAGUCUGAAGUGAAAGCCCGGGGCUUAACCCCGGGACUGCUUUGGCAACUGGCGCGCUA